Molecule: ribosomal RNA, 231 nt
Filed under: Proteus sp. (in: enterobacteria)
Lineage: Bacteria; Pseudomonadati; Pseudomonadota; Gammaproteobacteria; Enterobacterales; Morganellaceae
Description: Proteus sp. partial 16S ribosomal RNA
Rfam family: Bacterial small subunit ribosomal RNA
Source: RNAcentral
CUGGGCGUAAGCGCACGCAGGCGGUCAAUUAAGUCAGAUGUGAAAGCCCCGAGCUUAACUUGGGAAUUGCAUCUGAAACUGGUUGGCUAGAGUCUUGUAGAGGGGGGUAGAAUUCCAUGUGUAGCGGUGAAAUGCGUAGAGAUGUGGAGGAAUACCGGUGGCGAAGGCGGCCCCCUGGACAAAGACUGACGCUCAGGUGCGAAAGCGUGGGGAGCAAACAGGAUUAGAUAC